GGAACACACACUCGCUCCAGCUCUGGAGGGAAAGGGAUCUGGCUGCCUCCUAGUGAGGUACCACGGACAGAGCAGUACUGGAGCGAGGCACGAAUGGAAACAAAUGCAACCGUUUCUCCUUGGGAUUUGAUAACUUGCUCCAUACACGCUGAGCUGGGGAAUUUCCUGAAGCAACCCUUGGCUUGAAGAGGAACAGCCGGAGUACAGCAAACUGUGUGUUGUUUGCCUUUGAGGAGAAUCUGGCUUCUGAGGUCUCUUUUCCUUGGACAGCCUGCGCACUGUGGCUCCGUCGUGUAUCACAGCCGCUGUGCAAACCUUCUCCCUGCAGGUUCAGAGACAGAGCUAAAGAACAUGGGGGAGAGAUAUUAAAAGCCCUGCUAUGGGAAGAAAGCUGCUUUCCACUGACAUUUGAAGCUCUGUGAAGAGCCAGUAAGUUGGAGAGAUGCAGGAAGCGGGAUUCAAAGAUCAAAAGCUGCUGAGAAAGGUGUGCAGAACCACCCCUCCCUCCCCCCAGAAAGGUGUUAAAGAAAGACUCGGCUUCCAUGCCCACAUGGAGUGGGUUCACUACCAACAGGAAAACCUGUAUGCAGGCACACAAACCGUUUCUUAUUCUGUAUCCCCUGAACUCGGUUAAGUUAUUCUGUGUAACUGAAAGCAGAUUUGACCCACUAUGCUUCCUCUGGAGACUCUAAUGCUUUCCUGCUGCAAAUUUCUAGCAAGUAUGGAAAGCCCUAAUUCUUAUGGAAAUUAACAACAAAAAUGAGAUUUCAGCAGUCAAUUUACAAUAUCAACCACGCCAGAGCUUUCGGCCGUAUGCCCCAUGGUACAGAAGAAAGCGAAUGAAAUUCUAGUGACAAGGGAAAAUUCAGAAGAAAAAUUGCACAUUCUUAACCAGGAUUAAACAUAUCCACUUUAUCAAUGUGGAUUUUGCCCCAGUAUAAAAUACCUUAUUGAAAGCUUGCUUUAUAAUGAAGCCUAUAAACGUUAAAUAUAUGGUUUACAGGUUUUCACGUCUAUUAUCUCCAAGUCUUGUCGGCAAACUUUGGUUAGCAUAAUCCUCCAGGAGGUGGGAGAGGAUCUCAGCUGCAUCUGAUUUG
This is a non-coding RNA of Pelodiscus sinensis (Chinese soft-shelled turtle), 1097 nucleotides long. The record is from RefSeq and is a predicted model, not a curated record. Lineage: Eukaryota; Metazoa; Chordata; Testudines; Trionychidae.